Molecule: non-coding RNA, 934 nt
Filed under: Fejervarya kawamurai
Lineage: Eukaryota; Metazoa; Chordata; Amphibia; Anura; Dicroglossidae
Description: 12S ribosomal RNA
Rfam family: Bacterial small subunit ribosomal RNA
Source: RNAcentral
CAAAGAUUUGGUCCUGGUCUUAUUGUCAGUUAUCUCUUGAUUUACACAUGCAAGUCUCAGCACUCCAGUGAGGACGCCCUUUCCCCUCCCAUAGGACAAGGAGCUGAUAUCAGGCACAUCUACUGCCCAUGACAUCUAGUUCGACCACACCCCCAAGGGUAUUCAGCAGUGAUAGAUAUUGUUUAUAAGCGACAGCUUGACACAGUCAAAGAGAAGAGGGCCGGCUAACCCGGUGCCAGCCGCCGCGGCUAAACCCUAGGGCCCAAAUUGAUAAAACUCGGCGUAAAUCGUGAUUAAAGUCUACUAAAAUUAGAGUGGAACCUACUACUAAGCUGUGAAAAGCAACUCUUUUAGGGAAAAUCAGAAACGAAAGUUACUCUAAUGCACACUUGAACACACGACAACUGGGAAACAAACUGGGAUUAGAUACCCCACUAUGCCCAGUCGUAAAAUAUUUACUUACGUACACAAACGCCCGGGAACUACGAGCUCUAGCUUAAAACCCAAAGGACUUGACGGUGUCCCACCCAACUAGAGGAGCCUGUCCUAUAAUCGAUGGUCCCCGAUAUACCCAACCUUUUCUUGCUCAUCAGUCUGUAUACCUCCGUCGUAAAUCUACCAUUUGAAUGACGUAUAGUUCGGUUCAAUGAUCACUUCAUCAAAACGUCAGGUCAAGGUGCAACCUAUGAAAAGGCAAGUGAUGGGCUACAAUCUCUAACCUAGAACAAACGAAAUACUGUAUGAAACACAGGAACGAAGGAGGAUUUAGAAGUAAAGAGAAAAUAACGUGUUCUCUUUAACAUGGCCCUGGGACAUGUACACACCGCCCGUCGCCCUCUUCGAUAUAGACACUUCCGUUUUUAACCCAAUUAACAAUGAGAGAAGAGGUAAGUCGUAACAUGGUAAGUGUACUGGAAAGUGCACUUGGAACAGC